Long non-coding RNA from Saccostrea cuccullata (small rock oyster), 712 nucleotides. RefSeq lists it as uncharacterized. The record is from RefSeq and is a predicted model, not a curated record. Lineage: Eukaryota; Metazoa; Mollusca; Bivalvia; Ostreida; Ostreidae. The transcript has 3 exons.
AAAAAAAAUUGGGCAGAUGUACUGAACUGAGCCUCACACUUGUUGAUAAAGAGUAUCUUUCCUACCAAAAAAGCUUUGAAAAUGUAAUUUAUCGAGAAGAUCAGCUGAAUUAUUUUGUGUAUUAUAACGCCAGUGAUAAUUCUGAAAUUCCCCUACUUUCACUUUCAUUUUUAGAGGUUCCCGCAGACAGACGCAUUUUGCCGGAAAACGAAUCUGACAUGCCACCUCGAGAUUUUAACCAAGGAAAGACAAGUUGAUGUGCUUUGAUUUGAGGGGUCACUCACUUCUGAACGAAAAUUAGGGACAUCGCUAUGAGAAGAAACGUUAACAUUGUCGCCUAUGGGAAAACAAUUAGUGGACUGUACCCAUAUUAGGAAGCCUAUAAGUUCAUGGUGAUUGGUACAGGAAAAACAUGAGGUCCAUGCAGAUGGUGUUUAAAACUGUUGGCCAGCAAAUGCAUGCCCAUUUGAAUACAUCUUGAAACAGCACCAGCAAAAUGUGACAGUCGGCAAAAUGUAGGUUCCCGCAGACAGACGCAUUUUGCCGGAAAACGAAUCUGACAUGCCACCUCGAGAUUUUAACCAAGGAAAGACAAGUUGAUGUGCUUUGAUUUGAGGGGUCACUCACUUCUGAACGAAAAUUAGGGACAUCGCUAUGAGAAGAAACGUUAACAUUGUCGCCUAUGGGAAAACAAUUAGUGGACUGUACCCAU